GCACUGGUUUAGCUCAGUGGUUACUUCGUUCACAUUUCUCUCUGUAGAGAACCUGAUCUCCAUCCCUCUGUGGGAUCGAACCACGGGCGCUGUCCAGUGUUUUC
Dicentrarchus labrax (European seabass) is the source of this 104-nucleotide vault RNA. Its record names the gene Vault. It matches the Rfam family "Vault RNA". Rfam says of the family: This family of RNAs are found as part of the enigmatic vault ribonucleoprotein complex. The complex consists of a major vault protein (MVP), two minor vault proteins (VPARP and TEP1), and several small untranslated RNA molecules. The record is from Ensembl. Lineage: Eukaryota; Metazoa; Chordata; Actinopteri; Moronidae.